Molecule: ribosomal RNA, 1346 nt
Filed under: uncultured bacterium
Lineage: Bacteria
Description: partial 16S ribosomal RNA
Rfam family: Bacterial small subunit ribosomal RNA
Source: RNAcentral
GACGAACGCUGUCGGCGUGCUUAACACAUGCAAGUCGAACGGAAAGGCCCUGCUUUUGUGGGGUGCUCGAGUGGCGAACGGGUGAGUAACACGUGAGUAACCUGCCCUUGACUUUGGGAUAACUUCAGGAAACUGGGGCUAAUACCGGAUAGGAGCUCCUGCUGCAUGGUGGGGGUUGGAAAGUUUCGGCGGUUGGGGAUGGACUCGCGGCUUAUCAGCUUGUUGGUGGGGUAGUGGCUUACCAAGGCUUUGACGGGUAGCCGGCCUGAGAGGGUGACCGGCCACAUUGGGACUGAGAUACGGCCCAGACUCCUACGGGAGGCAGCAGUGGGGAAUAUUGCACAAUGGGCGGAAGCCUGAUGCAGCAACGCCGCGUGCGGGAUGACGGCCUUCGGGUUGUAAACCGCUUUCGCCCGUGACGAAGCGUGAGUGACGGUAAUGGGUAAAGAAGCACCGGCUAACUACGUGCCAGCAGCCGCGGUGAUACGUAGGGUGCGAGCGUUGUCCGGAUUUAUUGGGCGUAAAGGGCUCGUAGGUGGUUGAUCGCGUCGGAAGUGUAAUCUUGGGGCUUAACCCUGAGCGUGCUUUCGAUACGGGUUGACUUGAGGAAGGUAGGGGAGAAUGGAAUUCCUGGUGGAGCGGUGGAAUGCGCAGAUAUCAGGAGGAACACCAGUGGCGAAGGCGGUUCUCUGGGCCUUUCCUGACGCUGAGGAGCGAAAGCGUGGGGAGCGAACAGGCUUAGAUACCCUGGUAGUCCACGCUGUAAACGGUGGGUACUAGGUGUGGGGUCCAUUCCACGGGUUCCGUGCCGUAGCUAACGCUUUAAGUACCCCGCCUGGGGAGUACGGCCGCAAGGCUAAAACUCAAAGGAAUUGACGGGGCCCCGCACAAGCGGCGGAGCAUGCGGAUUAAUUCGAUGCAACGCGUAGAACCUUACCUGGGUUUGACAUGGAUCGGGAGUGCUCAGAGAUGGGUGUGCCUCUUUUGGGGUCGGUUCACAGGUGGUGCAUGGCUGUCGUCAGCUCGUGUCGUGAGAUGUUGGGUUAAGUCCCGCAACGAGCGCAACCCUUGUUCACUGUUGCCAGCACGUUAUGGUGGGGACUCAGUGGAGACCGCCGGGGUCAACUCGGAGGAAGGUGGGGAUGACGUCAAGUCAUCAUGCCCCUUAUGUCCAGGGCUUCACGCAUGCUACAGUGGCUGGUACAGAGAGUGGCGAGCCUGUGAGGGUGAGCGAAUCUCGGAAAGCCGGUCUCAGUUCGGAUUGGGGUCUGCAACUCGACCUCAUGAAGUCGGAGUCGCUAGUAAUCGCAGAUCAGCAACGCUGCGGUGAAUACGUUCCCGGGGCU